UACGUAGGGGGCUAGCGUUGUCCGGAAUCAUUGGGCGUAAAGAGCGUGUAGGCGGCCCGGUAAGUCCGCUGUGAAAGUCGGGGGCUCAACCCCAGGCGUGCGGUGGAUACUGCCGGGCUAGAGGAUGGUAGAGGCGAGUGGAAUUCCCGGUGUAGCGGUGAAAUGCGCAGAUAUCGGGAGGAACACCAGUAGCGAAGGCGGCUCGCUGGGCCAUACCUGACGCUGAGACGCGAAAGCGUGGGGAGCAAACAGG
This 253-nucleotide ribosomal RNA is filed under the name uncultured bacterium. RNAcentral's name for it is "partial 16S ribosomal RNA". It matches the Rfam family "Bacterial small subunit ribosomal RNA", at positions 524 to 776 of the family's 1533-position model. The record is from RNAcentral.